UGAGAAGGCGGUUUAAUUGAAGAAAAUCUGCAGAAAAUCUUUUCCAUCGUGGCACGAUGGCUUGUCAUAGUGGCACGAUGAUGACUUGAAAAAUACGCAGAAAAUCCUGAGAAGAUCUUCCAUCGCACCACGAUAAGAUCCAUCGUGGCCACGAUGAGGCGAAAAUACACGCCAUCGUGGCCACGAUGGGUGCGAUUGAUGCGCAGAAAAAGC
RNAcentral lists this long non-coding RNA (213 nucleotides) under Trifolium pratense (red clover). RNAcentral's name for it is "long non-coding RNA (TPRA_LNC002334)". The record is from RNAcentral. Lineage: Eukaryota; Viridiplantae; Streptophyta; Magnoliopsida; Fabales; Fabaceae.